This 329-nucleotide ribosomal RNA is filed under the name uncultured eukaryote. RNAcentral's name for it is "partial 18S ribosomal RNA". It matches the Rfam family "Eukaryotic small subunit ribosomal RNA", at positions 1470 to 1796 of the family's 1831-position model. The record is from RNAcentral.
CCCUUAGAUGUUCUGGGCCGCACGCGCGCUACAAUGAUGAAUUCAACGAGUUUAUAACCUUGGUUGAAAAGCCUGGGUAAUCUUUUGAACUUUCGUCGUGAUGGGGCUAGACCCUUGCAAUUAUUGGUCUCCAACGAGGAAUUCCUAGUAAACGCAAGUCAUCAGCUUGCAUUGAUUACGUCCCUGCCCUUUGUACACACCGCCCGUCGCACCUACCGAUUGAAUGGCCCGAUGAAAUCUUCGGAUUGAGACUUUGAUUUCUUCACGGAAAACGCUGUUUUAAAAAGUUGAUUAAACCUUACCAUUUAGAGGAAGGUGAAGUCGUAACA